RNAcentral lists this small nuclear RNA (114 nucleotides) under Salmo trutta (river trout). Its description in RNAcentral is "U5 spliceosomal RNA (ENSSTUG00000031660.1)". It matches the Rfam family "U5 spliceosomal RNA". From Rfam's summary of the family: U5 RNA is a component of both types of known spliceosome. The precise function of this molecule is unknown, though it is known that the 5' loop is required for splice site selection and p220 binding, and that both the 3' stem-loop and the Sm site are important for Sm protein binding and cap methylation. The record is from Rfam by way of RNAcentral. Lineage: Eukaryota; Metazoa; Chordata; Actinopteri; Salmoniformes; Salmonidae.
CGACUCUGGUUUCUCUUCAUUACGCACAAGCCUUUCGCCUUUACUAAAGACUUCGUGGAGAGGAACCUUACGAGUUCAACAUAUUUUUGGAAGGGCUUUGCUUCUGGCAGAGCC